This 29-nucleotide non-coding RNA is filed under the name Rattus norvegicus (Norway rat). The record is from RNAcentral. Lineage: Eukaryota; Metazoa; Chordata; Mammalia; Rodentia; Muridae.
UAAGUGAUGUCGAGAAAGAGUCUCCCACA